AACUGUCCUUUUAGGGAUGGAUGAAUCUGUCCUAUUUAAGGCGGUGCCCUUUUCUGGUAUUCCCUAACACAAGCUUGACCCGAAGUAGGCGUUCUGAAAAAGGCCGACAGUCGAUGGAGGCCAACGCAGCGCUCCUCUCACCUCCUCUCUCCGUCCAGGCCGGGUGACCAUAAGCGCGGCCAGCGGAAAGGAGGCGGUGCGGCCCGUAGGGUUGAGGCCCGGAGGGGGCGGGGCCUCCCUCGCGACCUGGCCCGGAGAGGGUGGGGCUUCCGGGAAGGGGCCUCUAGCGCGCACUCUCGGAAGCGCAGCCGAACCCGCCCUCCGAGCCCAGAGAGGCGCUGCUGCCGCUGCCACCGCCGCCCCGCCGCCGCUGCCUUAGUUAUGCCGAAGCACGUGUUCUCUGUGGACAUGACCUGUGGAAGCUGUGCUGAAGCUGUUUCUCGGGUCCUUGAUAAGUUUGGAGGAGUUAAGUAUGACCUUGACCUGGGGCCCCACAGAGAUUCUGCAUUGGAAUCCUGAGCCACAGCGUGGGCGGACACUCUGCUUGCAACCCUGAAGAAAACAGGAAAGACUGUUUCCUACCUUGGCCUCGAGUAGUAGGGACCUGGUCCCCACAGCCCACAGGAUGAACCAAAGCGGGCAGGAUGCUGAUCCUCCUCCCCUGGCUUCCAGACAGACCUGGGACUUGGCAGUCAUGCUGGGCAAUGGUGUUCCUGUGGAGACCCUCAGUUGUCCUAUUCCUUCCUAGCUUCCCCGCAAUAAAAUCAAGCUGCUUUUGUUGGA
Molecule: long non-coding RNA, 783 nt
Organism: Cercocebus atys (sooty mangabey)
Lineage: Eukaryota; Metazoa; Chordata; Mammalia; Primates; Cercopithecidae
Exons: 4
Source: RefSeq, a predicted model, not a curated record